GGCUAAAUACUACCUAGUGACCGAUAGCGUAUAGUACCGUGAGGGAAAGGUGAAAAGAACCCCGGGAGGGGAGUGAAAUAGAACCUGAAACCCUGCACUUACAAGCUGUGGAAGCACAUUUCUUGUGUGACCGCGUACUUUUUGUAGAACGGGCCAACGAGUUACGUUAAGGAGCAAGGUUAAGCACUUAAGGUGCGGAGCCGUAGCGAAAGCGAGUUUUAACUGAGCGUUCAGUUACUUGACGUAGACCCGAAACCGGGCGACCUACCCAUGAGCAGGAUGAAGCGAAAGUAAAAUUU
Molecule: ribosomal RNA, 299 nt
Filed under: Clostridioides difficile
Lineage: Bacteria; Bacillati; Bacillota; Clostridia; Peptostreptococcales; Peptostreptococcaceae
Description: partial 23S ribosomal RNA
Rfam family: Bacterial large subunit ribosomal RNA
Source: RNAcentral